CGGAGAAUGCCGAAAUUUCAGUUGGGAGCACUGCUGAGAAUGCCGAAAUUUCAGUUGGGAGGAGCAGCUGAUUGGGAACCUCUUAAAUGUUCUUCAUGGAACAGGGCAGCUCCUCGCUGGGGUAUAUUCACACACACCACCCACACUUGAAUUUGUUUUUUACUUGCUGUAGUUUAUUGUGGCAUAACAGCGUAUAUUAUAUUAUAUUAUAUUAUAUU
Danio rerio (zebrafish) is the source of this 218-nucleotide non-coding RNA. NCBI's taxonomy places the organism in Eukaryota, Metazoa, Chordata, Actinopteri, Cypriniformes, Danionidae. The record is from RefSeq and is a predicted model, not a curated record.